Molecule: ribosomal RNA, 301 nt
Filed under: uncultured bacterium
Lineage: Bacteria
Description: partial 16S ribosomal RNA
Rfam family: Bacterial small subunit ribosomal RNA
Source: RNAcentral
CAGCCGCCGCGGUAAUACGAAGGGGGGCAAGCGUUGUUCGGAAUUAUUGGGCGUAAAGGGUGCGUAGGCGGCUUGACAAGUCUUGUGUGAAAUCUAUGGGCUCAACCCAUAGUCUGCACGGGAAACUGUCGGGCUUGAGAAUGGGAGAGGUGAGUGGAAUUUCCGGUGUAGCGGUGAAAUGCGUAGAUAUCGGAAGGAACACCUGUGGCGAAAGCGGCUCACUGGACAAUUACUGACGCUGAUGCACGAAAGCUAGGGGAGCAAACAGGAUUAGAUACCCCGGUAGUCCCUGUCUCUUAUA